RNAcentral lists this ribosomal RNA (430 nucleotides) under uncultured bacterium. RNAcentral's name for it is "bacterial SSU rRNA". It matches the Rfam family "Bacterial small subunit ribosomal RNA", at positions 355 to 776 of the family's 1533-position model. The record is from RNAcentral.
UGGGGAAUCUUGCGCAAUGGGCGAAAGCCUGACGCAGCAAUGCCGCGUGAGUGAAGAAGGCCUUCGGGUCGUAAAGCUCUUUCGACUGGGAAGAAGGGUGUAUGAGUAAACAAUUCAUGCAUUUGACGGUACCUAAAGAAGAAGCACCGGCUAAUCUCGUGCCAGCAGCCGCGGUAAUACGAGAGGUGCAAGCGUUGUUCGGAAUUAUUGGGCGUAAAGCGCACGUAGGCGGGUUCGUAUGUCGAUUGUGAAAGCCCCAGGCUCAACCUGGGAAUUGCAGUCGAAACUGCGAAUCUUGAAUACCUGAGAGGGUGGGAGAAUUCCUGGUGGAGUAGUGAAAUACGUAGAGAUCAGGAGGAAUACCGGAGGCGAAGGCGCCUGCCUGGCAGUGUAUUGACGCUGAGGUGCGAAAGCGUGGGGAGCAAACAGG